AUACAGAGGGUGCAAGCGUUAAUCGGAAUUACUGGGCGUAAAGCGCGCGUAGGCGGUUUGUUAAGUCGGAUGUGAAAUCCCUGGGCUCAACCUGGGAACUGCAUUCGAAACUGAUUGACUUGAGUAUGGUAGAGGGUGGUGGAAUUCCUAGUGUAGCGGUGAAAUGCGUAGAUAUUAGGGGGAACAUCAGUGGCGAAGGCGACCACCUGGACCAAUACUGACGCUGAGGUGCGAAAGCGUGGGGAGUAAACAGGAUUAGAUACCCUAGUAGUCC
RNAcentral lists this ribosomal RNA (274 nucleotides) under uncultured bacterium. RNAcentral's name for it is "partial 16S ribosomal RNA". It matches the Rfam family "Bacterial small subunit ribosomal RNA", at positions 523 to 796 of the family's 1533-position model. The record is from RNAcentral.